CCUACGGGAGGCAGCAGUAGGGAAUCUUCGGCAAUGGACGAAAGUCUGACCGAGCAACGCCGCGUGAGUGAAGAAGGUUUUCGGAUCGUAAAACUCUGUUGUUAGAGAAGGACAAGGAUGAGAGUAACUGUUCAUCCCUUGACGGUAUCUAACCAGAAAGCCACGGCUAACUACGUGCCAGCAGCCGCGGUAAUACGUAGGUGGCAAGCGUUAUCCGGAUUUAUUGGGCGUAAAGUGAGCGCAGGCGGUUUCUUAAGUCGGAUGGAAAAGACCCCGUCUCAGGCGGGGAGGGUCAUUGGAAACUUGGAGACUUGAGUGCAGAAGAGGAGAGUGGAAUUCCAUGUGUAGCGGUGAAAUGCGUAGAUAUAUGGAGGAACACCAGUGGCGAAGGCGGCUCUCUGGUCUGUAACUGACGCUGAGGCUCGAAAGCGUGGGGAGCAAACAGGAUUAGAUACCCUUGUAGUC
This 465-nucleotide ribosomal RNA is filed under the name uncultured Enterococcus sp. RNAcentral describes it as "bacterial SSU rRNA". It matches the Rfam family "Bacterial small subunit ribosomal RNA", at positions 338 to 795 of the family's 1533-position model. The record is from RNAcentral. Lineage: Bacteria; Bacillati; Bacillota; Bacilli; Lactobacillales; Enterococcaceae.